AACGUAGGAGACAAACGUUAUCCGGAGUUACUGGGCGUAAAGGGCGUGUAGGUGGUUUUGUAAGUCUGGCGUGAAAUUUUUCGGCUUAACCGGGAAAGGUCGUCGGAUACUGCAAGGCUAGAGGACGGUAGAGGCGUGUGGAAUUCCGGGUGUAGUGGUGAAAUGCGUAGAGAUCCGGAGGAACACCAGUGGCGAAGGCGACACGCUGGGCCGUACCUGACA
RNAcentral lists this ribosomal RNA (222 nucleotides) under uncultured bacterium. RNAcentral's name for it is "partial 16S ribosomal RNA". It matches the Rfam family "Bacterial small subunit ribosomal RNA", at positions 524 to 745 of the family's 1533-position model. The record is from RNAcentral.